GUUUCCGGGGGAAGUAUGGUUGCAAAGCUGAAACUUAAAGGAAUUGACGGAAGGGCACCACCAGGAGUGGAGCCUGCGGCUUAAUUUGACUCAACACGGGAAAACUCACCCGGCCCGGACACCGUAAGGAUUGACAGACUGAGAGCUCUUUCUUAAUUCGGUGGGUGGUGGUGCAUGGCCGUUCUUAGUUGGUGGAGCGAUUUGUCUGGUUAAUUCCGAUAACGAACGAGACUCUGGCCUAUUAAAUAGACGAUAUAUUUAAAAGUAUAUCGCGCUUCUUAGAGGGACAAGCGGCGUCUAGCCGCAUGAAAUAGAGCAAUAACAGGUCUGUGAUGCCCUUAGAUGUCCGGGGCUGCACGCGCGCUACACUGAAAGAAUCAGAGUGCGUUUUGCCUAGUUCGGAAGAACCGGGUAACCCAAGUAAAUUCUUUCGUGCUUGGGAUAGGGAAUUGCAAUUAUUUCCCUUAAACGAGGAAUUCCCAGUAAAUGCGGGUCAUAAGCUCGCGUUG
This 509-nucleotide ribosomal RNA is filed under the name Dorylaimoidea environmental sample. Its description in RNAcentral is "SSU rRNA". It matches the Rfam family "Eukaryotic small subunit ribosomal RNA", at positions 1110 to 1643 of the family's 1831-position model. The record is from RNAcentral. Lineage: Eukaryota; Metazoa; Nematoda; Enoplea; Dorylaimida.